UGGAAACGGUAGCUAAUACCGCAUAACGUCGCAAGACCAAAGUGGGGGACCUUCGGGCCUCAUGCCAUCAGAUGUGCCCAGAUGGGAUUAGCUAGUAGGUGGGGUAACGGCUCACCUAGGCGACGAUCCCUAGCUGGUCUGAGAGGAUGACCAGCCACACUGGAACUGAGACACGGUCCAGACUCCUACGGGAGGCAGCAGUGGGGAAUAUUGCACAAUGGGCGCAAGCCUGAUGCAGCCAUGCCGCGUGUGUGAAGAAGGCCUUCGGGUUGUAAAGCACUUUCAGCGGGGAGGAAGGCGAUGAGGUUAAUAACCUUGUCGAUUGACGUUACCCGCAGAAGAAGCACCGGCUAACUCCGUGCCAGCAGCCGCGGUAAUACGGAGGGUGCAAGCGUUAAUCGGAAUUACUGGGCGUAAAGCGCACGCAGGCGGUCUGUCAAGUCGGAUGUGAAAUCCCCGGGCUCAACCUGGGAACUGCAUUCGAAACUGGCAGGCUAGAGUCUUGUAGAGGGGGGUAGAAUUCCAGGUGUAGCGGUGAAAUGCGUAGAGAUCUGGAGGAAUACCGGUGGCGAAGGCGGCCCCCUGGACAAAGACUGACGCUCAGGUGCGAAAGCGUGGGGAGCAAACAGGAUUAGAUACCCUGGUAGUCCACGCCGUAAACGAUGUCGAUUUGGAGGUUGUGCCCUUGAGGCGUGGCUUCCGGAGCUAACGCGUUAAAUCGACCGCCUGGGGAGUACGGCCGCAAGGUUAAAACUCAAAUGAAUUGACGGGGGCCCGCACAAGCGGUGGAGCAUGUGGUUUAAUUCGAUGCAACGCGAAGAACCUUACCUGGUCUUGACAUCCACAGAACUUACCAGAGAUGCUUUGGUGCCUUCGGGAACUGUGAGACAGGUGCUGCAUGGCUGUCGUCAGCUCGUGUUGUGAAAUGUUGGGUUAAGUCCCGCAACGAGCGCAACCCUUAUCCUUUGUUGCCAGCGGUCAGGCCGGGAACUCAAAGGAGACUGCCAGUGUAAACUGGAGGAAGGUGGGGAUGACGUCAAGUCAUCAUCCCCCGCGAGAGCAAGCGGACCUCAUAAAGUAUGUCGUAGUCCGGAUUGGAGUCUGCAACUCGACUCCAUGAAGUCGGAAUCGCUAGUAAUCGUAGAUCAGAAUGCUACGGUGAAUACGUUCCCGGGCCUUGUACACACCGCCCGUCACACCAUGG
RNAcentral lists this ribosomal RNA (1204 nucleotides) under Klebsiella pneumoniae. RNAcentral's name for it is "bacterial SSU rRNA". It matches the Rfam family "Bacterial small subunit ribosomal RNA", at positions 151 to 1407 of the family's 1533-position model. Lineage: Bacteria; Pseudomonadati; Pseudomonadota; Gammaproteobacteria; Enterobacterales; Enterobacteriaceae. The record is from RNAcentral.